GGAAUACGCUCUGGAAACGGAGAACAAAUCCCGAUGUACAGGAAGGAGGCAUCUUCUUUCUGUGAAACAUCCUUUAGGGGAUGGGGCGCGGAUGGACCUGCGGUGCAUUAGUUGGUUGGCGGGGUAAAGGCCCACCAAGACGAUGAUGCAUAGCCGGCCUGAGAGGGCGGACGGCCACAUUGGGACUGAGACACGGCCCAGACUCCUGCGGGAGGCAGCAGUAGGGAAUUUUCGUCAAUGGGCGCAAGCCUGAACGAGCGAUGCCGCGUGAGUGAAGAAGGCCUUCGGGUCGUAAAGCUCUGUUGCGGGGGAAAAAAGGCAGCAUCAGGAAAUGGGUGCUGACUGAUGGUGCCCCGCCAGAAAGUCACGGCUAACUACGUGCCAGCAGCCGCGGUAAUACGUAGGUGGCGAGCGUUAUCCGGAAUGAUUGGGCGUAAAGGGUGCGCAGGCGGUCCUGCAAGUCUGGAGUGAAACGCAUGAGCUCAACUCAUGCAUGGCUUUGGAAACUGGAGGACUGGAGAGCAGGAGAGGGCGGUGGAACUCCAUGUGUAGCGGUAAAAUGCGUAGAUAUAUGGAAGAACACCAGUGGCGAAGGCGGCCGCCUGGCCUGUUGCUGACGCUGAGGCACGAAAGCGUGGGGAGCAAAUAGGAUUAGAUACCCUAGUAGUCCACGCCGUAAAC
RNAcentral lists this ribosomal RNA (681 nucleotides) under uncultured bacterium. Its description in RNAcentral is "bacterial SSU rRNA". It matches the Rfam family "Bacterial small subunit ribosomal RNA", at positions 140 to 807 of the family's 1533-position model. The record is from RNAcentral.